GGAGUCUAGCAUGUGCGCGAGUCAUUGGGAUAUAACUAAACCUAAAGGCGCAAUGAAAGUAAAAGUUUAUCUAGCAUAAACUAAGGGAGGAUGAGCAAUUUAUUUAAUAAUUACUCCGCACUCCCGGGGCGUCUCAUUCUCAUUAUGAGAGGAGGCGCACCAUGAGCGUACACGCUGGGACCCGAAAGAUGGUGAACUAUGCCUGGUCAGGACGAAGUCAGGGGAAACCCUGAUGGAGGUCCGUAGCGAUUCUGACGUGCAAAUCGAUCGUCGGAACUGGGUAUAGGGGCGAAAGACUAAUCGAACCAUCUAGUAGCUGGUUCCCUCCGAAGUUUCCCUCAGGAUAGCUGGCGCUUAGAGCGUUCGAGUUUCAUCCGGUAAAGCGAAUGAUUAGAGGCAUUGGGGUCGAAACGUCCUCAACCUAUUCUCAAACUUUAAAUGGGUGAGAUCUUCGGCUUGCUUAAACAACAUUUUUAAUGUUGAAGCCGUAAGAUUUUGAAUCAAAGUGCCAAGUGGGCCAUUUUUGGUAAGCAGAACUGGCGCUGUGGGAUGAACCAAACGUCGAGUUAAAGCGCCUAAAUCGACGCUUAUGGGAUACCAUGAAAGGCGUUGGUAACUUAAGACAUCAGGACGGUGGCCAUGGAAGUU
RNAcentral lists this ribosomal RNA (648 nucleotides) under Rhipiphoridae sp. UPOL ZL0214. RNAcentral's name for it is "eukaryotic LSU rRNA". It matches the Rfam family "Eukaryotic large subunit ribosomal RNA", at positions 670 to 1262 of the family's 3401-position model. The record is from RNAcentral. Lineage: Eukaryota; Metazoa; Arthropoda; Insecta; Coleoptera; Ripiphoridae.